GAUGAACGCUAGCGGCAGGCCUAAUACAUGCAAGUCGAACGAUAGUGAGAAGCUUGCUUCUCACGAAAGUGGCGCACGGGUGCGUAACGCGUAUGCAACCUACCUUACUCAGGGGGAUAGCCCGAAGAAAUUCGGAUUAACACCGCAUAAAAUCACAGUAUAGCAUUAUACAAUGAUCAAAUAUUUAUAGGAUUAAGAUGGGCAUGCGUGACAUUAGUUAGUUGGCGGGGUAACGGCCCACCAAGACCACGAUGUCUAGGGGAUCUGAGAGGAUGACCCCCCACACUGGUACUGAGACACGGACCAGACUCCUACGGGAGGCAGCAGUAAGGAAUAUUGGUCAAUGGAGGCAACUCUGAACCAGCCAUGCCGCGAGCAGGAAGACAGCCCUCUGGGUCGUAAACUGCUUUUAUUCGGGAAUAAACCUAUCUACGUGUAGAUAGCUGAAUGUACCGAAGGAAUAAGGAUCGGCUAACUCCGUGCCAGCCGCCGCGGUAA
This 498-nucleotide ribosomal RNA is filed under the name uncultured bacterium. RNAcentral's name for it is "partial 16S ribosomal RNA". It matches the Rfam family "Bacterial small subunit ribosomal RNA", at positions 28 to 523 of the family's 1533-position model. The record is from RNAcentral.